GUGUCAGGAUGAACGCUGGCGGCGUGCUUAACACAUGCAAGUCGAACGGGAAGACUUUAGGAAGAUUCGGUUGGAAUAAAGGUAUUCUAGUGGCGGACGGGUGAGUAACGCGUAAACAAUCUGCCUUAGAGAGGGGGAUAACAGAUAGAAAUAUUUGCUAAUACCGCAUAAGACCACAGCUAGGCAUCUAGCAGGGGUAAAAGGAGCAAUCCGCUUUAAGAUGAGUUUGCGUACUAUUAGUUAGUUGGUGAGGUAACGGCCCACCAAGACGACGAUGGUUAGCCGGCCUGAGAGGGUGACCGGCCACAUUGGAACUGAGAUACGGUCCAGACUCCUACGGGAGGCAGCAGUGAGGAAUAUUGGGCAAUGGGCGAAAGCCUCGACCCAGCAACGCCGCGUGAAGGAAGUAAGGUUUAGGAUUGUAAACUUCUGUUAUGGGGGAAAAAGAAAGUGAUGGUACCCCAUGAGAAAGCUACGGCAAACUAUGUGCCAGCCGCAGC
Molecule: ribosomal RNA, 500 nt
Filed under: uncultured bacterium
Lineage: Bacteria
Description: bacterial SSU rRNA
Rfam family: Bacterial small subunit ribosomal RNA
Source: RNAcentral